This is a long non-coding RNA of Anopheles stephensi (Asian malaria mosquito), 1001 nucleotides long. RefSeq lists it as uncharacterized. The transcript has 2 exons. The record is from RefSeq and is a predicted model, not a curated record. NCBI's taxonomy places the organism in Eukaryota, Metazoa, Arthropoda, Insecta, Diptera, Culicidae.
CUUCGCAACUCGCAACACCAGGGCCAAUUGGCCCGGGAGAGACAAAGCACAUAACGCACCGACCGUAGAACAUGGGUAACGAUAAGUUUUAAUUAAAUCGAGACCGAGGGUACGACGACGUGCGUGUUGAUAGUUCUGACUCCGCCGCAAGAAGACGCUCCCCGGGUGUUUGGGGAACGCUGGACACAUACCCACACAGCGAGAUGGAUGCUUACACGAAGUAUCGUUCGGUACAAAUUAUACAAAACGACCCGUUCGCCUUCGCCGGCAACGUUGGCCCGGGAGCUGGUAUGGAUCUCCAGCAACAGCUAGUUACGAUGCCCUGUACCCUCCACAACUUAGCAGCGCCCCGCGAGGUAUGCGAAGCCACUGCGACGCUACUCCUGCGGCGGCUGCAUCCGAAAACAACAGGGAACUAGAAAUAUUGGAGCCGGAAUAGCCAGCUGGUAUGUGUCACACAAAGAUCAUCAGUCGGUCAUCUCUUAAGACGCUGUCGUUUGUUCGGUGCAGUAUGUCUCGCCGAGGCUAUCGAGUUGGGGAGGCAGAGACAUUCCGGCCGAUCGAUAAGCCGGUCAAUUCCUGCUCCGGGCACGUACACCGGAAUAUGGAACACCGCGCUAUCGAAUCAUUAUCGCACACGGAACGCCAGCCAGCGGGCGCAUUCAGCAGCAGCAACAACAACAAACGACAACAUCAACAGUGGUGACUAGACCUUGUCGCUCCCGACUCCCCCGCCCCACCUCUUCUCCCUUCCCCUCCCCGCAGCUCGUUCCGUUUAAUGUAAACAAACAGAAGCACUACAAACGCACGAGCCAAAAAAAUACCUCGAAGCCGCGGUUUCGAUUUCAACACCGUUCUCCGGGCACAUUUACAUUUGACUUUAUGAUUUUCCAUCAAUUUGUUAAAUUGGACAAAGCUGGAGAACUUGCAGUUAGGAACUCGGCGAAAAGCAAAACAACAAACUUAUUAUGUAUAAUGAAUGAUAAUCUUUGUAGCGACAA